Molecule: ribosomal RNA, 149 nt
Filed under: uncultured bacterium
Lineage: Bacteria
Description: partial 16S ribosomal RNA
Rfam family: Bacterial small subunit ribosomal RNA
Source: RNAcentral
CCUGAUCCAGCCAUGCCGCGUGAGUGAUGAAGGCCUUCGGGUUGUAAAGCUCUUUCGGCCGGGAAGAAAUCGCACCUUUUAAUAGAGGGUGUGGAUGACGGUACCGGACUAAGAAGCACCGGCUAACUACGUGCAGCAGCCGCGGUAAU